AAAGAAGUAUCAUUCAAAAGUUCUCAGACGCCUCAGAGCAUCAAUUUUUUGCAUUUUUUGGGAAAAAUCCAAUGGUGGCUUUAAAGCCAAGAAUGUAAAAAUCUUUCAUUAUCUCUAAUUUAAGAUUUUCGCUUUUAAAUAUAAAUUCUAAUGCUUAUUGUUUUGUUACAGAUUGUCUUCUACAAUCUCCACUUCCCCUAAUGCUGCAAGAAUCUUAUGAUGCUUCAAAAGCUAAAAAUAAAUUUUUCACGGCGUUCACUUUCACCAUG
Molecule: long non-coding RNA, 269 nt
Organism: Frieseomelitta varia
Lineage: Eukaryota; Metazoa; Arthropoda; Insecta; Hymenoptera; Apidae
Exons: 3
Source: RefSeq, a predicted model, not a curated record